Molecule: ribosomal RNA, 465 nt
Filed under: Vreelandella stevensii
Lineage: Bacteria; Pseudomonadati; Pseudomonadota; Gammaproteobacteria; Oceanospirillales; Halomonadaceae
Description: partial 16S ribosomal RNA
Rfam family: Bacterial small subunit ribosomal RNA
Source: RNAcentral
CCUACGGGAGGCUGCAGUGGGGAAUAUUGGACAAUGGGGGGAACCCUGAUCCAGCCAUGCCGCGUGUGUGAAGAAGGCCCUCGGGUUGUAAAGCACUUUCAGUGAGGAAGAACGCCUGGUGGUUAAUACCCAUCAGGAAAGACAUCACUCACAGAAGAAGCACCGGCUAACUCCGUGCCAGCAGCCGCGGUAAUACGGAGGGUGCGAGCGUUAAUCGGAAUUACUGGGCGUAAAGCGCGCGUAGGUGGCUUGAUAAGCCGGUUGUGAAAGCCCCGGGCUCAACCUGGGAACGGCAUCCGGAACUGUCAAGCUAGAGUGCAGGAGAGGAAGGUAGAAUUCCCGGUGUAGCGGUGAAAUGCGUAGAGAUCGGGAGGAAUACCAGUGGCGAAGGCGGCCUUCUGGACUGACACUGACACUGAGGUGCGAAAGCGUGGGUAGCAAACAGGAAUAGAUACCCCAGUAGUC